RNAcentral lists this small RNA (187 nucleotides) under Lacticaseibacillus paracasei. Its description in RNAcentral is "Lactobacillus paracasei 6S". Lineage: Bacteria; Bacillati; Bacillota; Bacilli; Lactobacillales; Lactobacillaceae. The record is from RNAcentral.
AAAGUUCUAAGGUGUUCGCGCUUCCUUAACUAUCAGUUGACCGAACAGUAUCGAGACCUUGGGACCGGAAGAGUCUUGGACGGUGCUGCUAUUUCACUUAGCGGCUAAUGUCUCUGGCGUCUGGGCCCACAUAGCUAGUAGCGGGUUUCAACGAUCCGGGAAGAAAACGGCACCAAUUAGCCUUUCA